GCAGCCGCCGCGGGAAUACGAAGGGGGCUAGCGUUGUUCGGAUUUACUGGGCGUAAAGGGUGCGUAGGCGGAUUGUUAAGUCAGGGGUGAAAUGCCAAGGCUCAACCUCGGAACUGCCUUUGAUACUGGCGAUCUUGAGUCCGGGAGAGGUGAGUGGAACUGCGAGUGUAGAGGUGAAAUUCGUAGAUAUUGGGAAGAACACCGGUGGCGAAGGCGGCGACCUGGUCCUUGACUGACGCUGAGGCGCGAAAGCGUGGGGAGCAAACAGGAUUAGAUACCCCAGUAGUCCCUGUCUCUUAUAC
This 302-nucleotide ribosomal RNA is filed under the name uncultured bacterium. Its description in RNAcentral is "partial 16S ribosomal RNA". It matches the Rfam family "Bacterial small subunit ribosomal RNA", at positions 508 to 807 of the family's 1533-position model. The record is from RNAcentral.